This 406-nucleotide ribosomal RNA is filed under the name uncultured bacterium. Its description in RNAcentral is "partial 16S ribosomal RNA". It matches the Rfam family "Bacterial small subunit ribosomal RNA", at positions 29 to 526 of the family's 1533-position model. The record is from RNAcentral.
AUUGAACGCUGGCGGCAGGCCUAACACAUGCAAGUCGAGCGAGCGGCGGACGGGUGAGUAAUGUAUGGGGAUCUGCCCGAUAGAGGGGGAUAACUACUGGAAACGGUGGCUAAUACCGCAUACUAUCGGAUGAAGCCAUAUGGGAUUAGCUAGUGGGUGGGGUAAAGGCUCACCGAGGCGACGAUGCCUAGCUGGUCUGAGAGGAUGAUCAGCCACACUGGGACUGAGACACGGCCCAGACUCCUACGGGAGGCAGCAGUGGGGAAUAUUGGGCAAUGGGCGCAAGCCUGAUGGAGCAAUGCCGCGUGUGUGAAGAAGGCCUUAGGGUUGUAAAGCACUUUCAGCGGGGAGGCGGUAUCUGACGAGGAAGCACCGGCUAACUACGUGCCAGCAGCCGCGGUAAUUC